UUUAAUUGAAGAGUUUGAUCAUGGCUCAGAUUGAACGCUGGCGGCAGGCCUAACACAUGCAAGUCGGGCGGUAACAGGGAGAAGCUUG
This 88-nucleotide ribosomal RNA is filed under the name Morganella morganii. Its description in RNAcentral is "partial 16S rRNA. Bacterial SSU". It matches the Rfam family "Bacterial small subunit ribosomal RNA", at positions 1 to 87 of the family's 1533-position model. Lineage: Bacteria; Pseudomonadati; Pseudomonadota; Gammaproteobacteria; Enterobacterales; Morganellaceae. The record is from RNAcentral.